AUAGAGUAGUACCUCAGCGUGUUUGCUUAUGGUCUGGCCGUUUUUUGUUAUUAUCUUUUUUGUGGUCUGAUCAGUUCUAGUAUUGAAAACUGGUAAGCAUCCAUGCAGCAGGAAGUGCUUAUAUAGUGAAAAGGAUGUUGACAGGUAACAUUGUUUCUGCUGGCACUUGCUAUUUAAUGCUGCUUCAUUUUGAAGUUAUUUUCAAUCAAUUAGUUUGAAAUGAAUGAAACUGAUGAUUUUUGGGUAAUGUUAAAGAUUCUGUGUUUUGUACUACUGGCAGAUUAUUUGAUGGAUUUAUUUGAUGAUUGAGCAAAUUGCGGGUAAUAACCCCUCCCAUCUAUACUUUUAGUAGCACUUAUUAAGUCUCAAAUUAUUUAAAAGCACUAACACUUCUUGAUUUACGAGGUACAAAGUGGGUAUCUGUGAUUUACACUGAUCAGCCAGUGGUAAACACCAUAGCUGAAGAGCAAGAUGAUAAUGUGAUGUCAGAUAUUAACCAGGAGCCUCCUUCAGGUACAACCAAAAAGGUGCGAGGGAAGACAAGAGGAGUGAAUGCAGAUAAGGUGUUCUCCCAAUUGAAUUCUAAAAUACCUGUGACUUUGACUGAAGAAAAUGGCAGACCUACGGGCCCUUAUGCUGAGAUGUUUGCAAAUGAAAUUGGUUACACAAUUCGAAACUACGCCCCACUGAAUGUGGAAAAAUGGAAGAAGAUUGAAAAAGCAGAUGUGGAGAACUUGAUCAAAAGAACCCAAAAUAAGUUUGAAUUUGACAUGUCGCUCCCUUGGGUCCAGAGAUAUGUAAUCAUAACAUGAAGCUGUCAAGACUCAGGAAGAAUGGGAGUUUCUUUGCACUCAUUUUUCUAGUGAAAAGUUUAAGAUUCGCUCAGAGAAGAAUGUUCUUAAUAGGUCAAAGUUGACAUAUCACCACAAAGCUGGGUCAAAAUCAUUUAUGUCACACCAAGAGCAAAUUGCAGCACAUACUGGAGAGAUGCAAGGUUCAAUUGAUCGUUUUGAAACAGAGUAUAGAAGCACAAAAAAAUGAUGGGACUUGGGAGCAAAGAAAAAUGGGAUCAAAUGAUAAAGAUGCGAGCAGAUACCGCUCAACCUGAUGGAACUCGAACAAUGACAGAGGAGGAAAUUUGUGCAAAAGUUUCCAGUCAAAUCAGGCUACAUUAAGGGCUGUGGUUUUGGUCCUAGACCAUCACCAUUAAGGUUCUCUUGUUCUUCGAUGAAUGAAAUGUCUAAAAGAAUAAAGAGUUGUAAGAACAGCUUCAAGAGACCUAACAACUUGUAGGAACUCAACAACAAAAGAUCGAUGCGUGAAAUGAGGCAAUCCAAAGAUUGGAGGAGCAAGCCAAAAAGUUUGAGGAGUUUAUGACUAAUUUUUUCAGGCAACAUCCAUCAGCUUAGUAUUCUUAGUGAACUUAAACUUGGAGAAAUAUUUCUUUGAUCCUGUUGCAUUUGUUAUUUUUUUAGGCUAGCAUUGUUACUUAUGGUAGAAACUUGCUUGUUUUAUUUAUUUUAAUUGUUUUGAUGUACUGUGGUGACAAUUAAUGACAAUUAUUUAUAUUUUGAGCGUUUU
Long non-coding RNA from Asparagus officinalis (garden asparagus), 1581 nucleotides. RefSeq lists it as uncharacterized. Lineage: Eukaryota; Viridiplantae; Streptophyta; Magnoliopsida; Asparagales; Asparagaceae. The record is from RefSeq and is a predicted model, not a curated record. The transcript has 6 exons.